GAUGAACGCUGGCGGCGUGCCUAAUACAUGCAAGUCGAGCGAACGGACGAGAAGCUUGCUUCUCUGAUGUUAGCGGCGGACGGGUGAGUAACACGUGGAUAACCUACCUAUAAGACUGGGAUAACUUCGGGAAACCGUAGCUAAUACCGGAUAAUAUUUUGAACCGCAUGGUUCAAAAGUGAAAGACGGUCUUGCCGUCACUUAUAGAUGGAUCCGCGCUGCAUUAGCUAGUUGGUAAGGUAACGGCUUACCAAGGCAACGAUGCAUAGCCGACCUGAGAGGGUGAUUGGCCACACGGGAACUGAGACACGGUCCAGACUCCUACGGGAGGAAGCAGUAGGGAAUCUUCCGCAAUGGGCGAAAGCCUGACGGAGCAACGCCGCGUGAGUGAUGAAGGUCUUCGGAUCGUAAAACUCUGUUAUUAGGGAAGAACAUAUGUGUAAGUAACUGUGCACAUCUUGACGGUACCUAAUCAGAAAGCCACGGCUAACUACGUG
Molecule: ribosomal RNA, 497 nt
Filed under: uncultured bacterium
Lineage: Bacteria
Description: partial 16S ribosomal RNA
Rfam family: Bacterial small subunit ribosomal RNA
Source: RNAcentral